GGACGAACGCUGGCGGCGUGCUUAACACAUGCAAGUCGAACGGAAAGGCCCUGCUUUUGUGGGGUGCUCGAGUGGCGAACGGGUGAGUAACACGUGAGUAACCUGCCCUUGACUUUGGGAUAACUUCAGGAAACUGGGGCUAAUACCGGAUAGGAGCUCCUGCUGCAUGGUGGGGGUUGGAAAGUUUCGGCGGUUGGGGAUGGACUCGCGGCUUAUCAGCUUGUUGGUGGGGUAGUGGCUUACCAAGGCUUUGACGGGUAGCCGGCCUGAGAGGGUGACCGGCCACAUUGGGACUGAGAUACGGCCCAGACUCCUACGGGAGGCAGCAGUGGGGAAUAUUGCACAAUGGGCGGAAGCCUAAUGCAGCAACGCCGCGUGCGGGAUGACGGCCUUCGGGUUGUAAACCGCUUUCGCCUGUGACGAAGCGUGAGUGACGGUAAUGGGUAAAGAAGCACCGGCUAACUACGUG
Molecule: ribosomal RNA, 469 nt
Filed under: uncultured bacterium
Lineage: Bacteria
Description: partial 16S ribosomal RNA
Rfam family: Bacterial small subunit ribosomal RNA
Source: RNAcentral